GACGAACGCUGGCGGUGUGCUUAACACAUGCAAGUCGAACGGAAAGGCCCUGCUUUUGUGGGGUGCUCGAGUGGCGAACGGGUGAGUAACACGUGAGUAACCUGCCCUUGACUUUGGGAUAACUUCAGGAAACUGGGGCUAAUACCGGAUAGGAGCUCCUGCUGCAUGGUGGGGGUUGGAAAGUUUCGGCGGUUGGGGAUGGACUCGCGGCUUAUCAGCUUGUUGGUGGGGUAGUGGCUUACCAAGGCUUUGACGGGUAGCCGGCCUGAGAGGGUGACCGGCCACAUUGGGACUGAGAUACGGCCCAGACUCCUACGGGAGGCAGCAGUGGGGAAUAUUGCACAAUGGGCGGAAGCCUGAUGCAGCAACGCCGCGUGCUGGAUGACGGCCUUCGGGUUGUAAACCGCUUUCGCCUGUGACGAAGCGUGAGUGACGGUAAUGGGUAAAGAAGCACCGGCUAACUACGUG
This 468-nucleotide ribosomal RNA is filed under the name uncultured bacterium. Its description in RNAcentral is "partial 16S ribosomal RNA". It matches the Rfam family "Bacterial small subunit ribosomal RNA", at positions 28 to 507 of the family's 1533-position model. The record is from RNAcentral.